RNAcentral lists this ribosomal RNA (483 nucleotides) under uncultured bacterium. Its description in RNAcentral is "partial 16S ribosomal RNA". It matches the Rfam family "Bacterial small subunit ribosomal RNA", at positions 29 to 506 of the family's 1533-position model. The record is from RNAcentral.
AUUGAACGCUGGCGGCAUGCUUUACACAUGCAAGUCGAACGGCAGCGCGGGCUUCGGCCUGGCGGCGAGUGGCGAACGGGUGAGUAAUACAUCGGAACGUGCCCAGUAGUGGGGGAUAGCUCGGCGAAAGCCGGAUUAAUACCGCAUACGACCUGAGGGUGAAAGCGGGGGAUCUUCGGACCUCGCGCUAUUGGAGCGGCCGAUGGCAGAUUAGCUAGUUGGUGGGGUAAAGGCCUACCAAGGCGACGAUCUGUAGCUGGUCUGAGAGGACGACCAGCCACACUGGGACUGAGACACGGCCCAGACUCCUACGGGAGGCAGCAGUGGGGAAUUUUGGACAAUGGGCGAAAGCCUGAUCCAGCAAUGCCGCGUGUGUGAUGAAGGCCUUCGGGUUGUAAAGCACUUUUGGCGGGAACGAAAAGGACUGUGCCAAUACCACGGUCCGAUGACGGUACCCGCAGAAUAAGCACCGGCUAACUACGU